UAUGUGACCUGAUGAACACAAAGCUGUACAAGAUGGUGAAGUUAAAGGAAAGGCUCCAAUGUUUCUGAAACUUCUGAAAAGUCUGGUGCCGACCAACGCCUUCCAACUUCUCCUGCUGACUUGGUUUUCAGAGGCAGAGAACUUGUAAAUGAGGUAAACCAGAAAAUAAGCCCACUCCUUGGAACUGAGAGAAGCAUCACUGCUGCUUAGUUUCCCCAGACAAAGUGUCUGGAUGGAGAGACCAACGACAACAUCAAGAGCGCCCUAAAGAAGGUGGUCAACAAUCAACAGAACAACUGGGAUUUGAUCUAGGAAGCCACACGCUUUUCCCUGAGGUCGAAACUACACACCACAACAAAGUGCUCCCCAUUUCAUCUGAUGUGCAUUUGGGAGAGAAACAGUCUUCCCUUCAGAGAUUGCAGCCGACUUGACGCCAAGUAUCUGGUUCAGUCUCAUGACUUUAGGUGUAAAUCACAAAGAAGUCUUCCUUCUAAAUACGAGGAAACGGGGAAGAAAAGUGGGAAGAAUGGAGCCAGAUUUCUCUGGCCAAUAUACACUCAACUCUGUUUGUGGAAAACUAUCCACUCUGAAGAAUUCAGAAGGAACAAGUUUUAAAAUGAAGUUUAAUGUUGGCCAUUCAAAGGCUUACAGAAGAGAAGACAAUAGAAGCCUAUAAGCUUUGAAGCGACCAAGACACAAACUAACCUGGAAACUCGCAGCAUUUGAAGCCUCCAGAGAGGUAAAGUUGACUACCGUACAGGCAGAAAAAGAACCCGUAGUCCAUAACCCAUAGACAGAUAUGAAAGUUGAUACUCAAGAAGGUCACAACCUUGAGUUUCUUCUCACCGCUUUGACACCAGUUAUUCAUUUACA
Long non-coding RNA from Poecilia latipinna (sailfin molly), 873 nucleotides. RefSeq lists it as uncharacterized. The record is from RefSeq and is a predicted model, not a curated record. Lineage: Eukaryota; Metazoa; Chordata; Actinopteri; Cyprinodontiformes; Poeciliidae. The transcript is spliced from 4 exons.